Molecule: ribosomal RNA, 429 nt
Filed under: uncultured archaeon
Lineage: Archaea
Description: bacterial SSU rRNA
Rfam family: Archaeal small subunit ribosomal RNA
Source: RNAcentral
UACCUGCAGCUCGAGUGGUAACCGCUAUUAUUGGGCCUAAAGCGUCCGUAGCCGGUUUGGUAAAUAUCUGGGUAAAUCGUGAGGCUUAACUUCACGAAUUUCGGAUAGACUGCCAGACUUGGGAUCGGGGGAGGUCAGAGGUACUCCAGGGGUAGCGGUGAAAUGUUGUAAUCCUUGGAGGACCACCGGUAGCGAAGGCGUCUGACUAGAACGAGUCCGACGGUGAGGAACGAAGCCCUGGGGCGCAAACCGGAUUAGAUACCCGGGUAGUCCAGGGUGUAAACAAUGUGGGCUUUGUAUUGGAGGUCCUACGUGGGCGUCCAGUGCAGAAGAGAAGUUGUUAAGCCCACCGCCUGGGAAGUACGGUCGCAAGGCUGAAACUUAAAGGAAUUGGCGGGGGAGCACAGCAACGGGAGGAGCGUGCGGUUU